UUAGAUGUCUCCAAAACCCAAGA
Molecule: non-coding RNA, 23 nt
Filed under: Arabidopsis thaliana (thale cress)
Lineage: Eukaryota; Viridiplantae; Streptophyta; Magnoliopsida; Brassicales; Brassicaceae
Source: RNAcentral